Molecule: long non-coding RNA, 1409 nt
Filed under: Homo sapiens (human)
Lineage: Eukaryota; Metazoa; Chordata; Mammalia; Primates; Hominidae
Description: HSALNT0145501
Source: RNAcentral
CCACCGCUCCUGGCCUGCCUGUUUUAUUCUGAGAAUUUUCUGGCUUUAGGUCUUAAACUUAGAUCUUUGAUUAUUUUUCAGUUCUCGUAAAUGGUGUAUAAAUGAUGUGAGGUAAAGGAGCCAACUUCAUUCAUUCAUUGACAUUUGUUUUGCAAAUCGUUGGCUUUUUGUUUUUGUUUUUUGGUUUUUUUUUUUUUUUUUUGAGACGGAGUUUUGCUCUUGCCCAGGCUGUAGUGCAAUGGCUCAAUCAUGGCUCACUGCAACCUCCGCCUCCCAGGUUCAAGCGAUUCUCCUGCCUCAGCCUCCCAAAUAGCUGGGAUUACAGGCAUGCACCACCACGCCCCCUAAUAUUGUAUUUUUAGUAGAGAUGGGCUUUCUCCAUGUUGGUCAGUCUGGUCUCGAACUCCGGACCUCAGGUGAUCCCCCCACCUCGACCUCCCAAAGUGCUGGGAUUACAGGCAUGAGCCACCGUGCCUGGCUGUUUUGUUUGUUUUGAGAUAGGGUCUCAACUCUGUUGCCUAGGCUGGAUCGCAGUGGCAUGAUCACAGCUCAUUGCAGCUUUGACCUCCCCAGGCUCAGGUGAUGCUCCCACCUCACCCGCCUGAGUAGCUGGGACCACAGACGUGCAUCACUCUUGGCUUUUUUAAGACAGGGUUUCGCCAUAUUGCCCAGGCUGGUCUCCUGGGCACAAGCAAUCUACCUGCCUUGGCUUCCCAAAGUGCUGGGAUCACAGGCAUCAGCCAGCAUGCCCAGCCCUGUUUGCAUUUGAAUAUCCAAUUGUCACAGAACCAUUUGCUGGAGAGAGUCUUCUUUCUCCAUUGGUCUCAGUACCCUUGUAAAAAAAAAUCAAAUGACCAUAGAUGUAUAGUCAUAGACUUUAUUUGUGGACUCUCAAUUCUAUUCCAUUGAUCUAUAUGCCUAUCCUUUUAUCAGUACUAAAACCUACUAUAAACCUACAGUAAUCAAGUUUUGAAAUUGGGUGAUAUAAGUCUUCCAGCUGUUUCACCAUGUUAGCCAGACUGUUCUCGAACUCCUGACCUCAGGUGAUCCGCCUGCCCUGGCCUCCUGAUGUGCUGGGAUUACUGGCGUUAGCCACUUCACCCAGCAAGCCUCCAUGGUUUGAGAGGAGAAAUCUUUUGUUAAUUUUGUUGAGAAUUCUUUUUUCUUUCUUUCUCUUUGUAUUUAUUAUUACUUUUUUUUUUUUUUCUGAGAAGGAGUUUUGCUCUUGUUGUCCAGGCUGGAGUGCAAUGGUCCAAUCUUGGCUUACUGCAACCUCCACCUCCCGGGUUCAAGCGAGUCUCCUCCCUCAGCCUCCGGAGUAGCUGGGAUUACAGGUGCAUGCCACCAGGCCCGGCUAAUUUUUUUUGUAUUUUUAGUAGAGACACGGUUUUGCCAUAUUGGCCAGUCUG